AUACGGAGGGUGCAAGCGUUACUCGGGAUCACUGGGCGUAAAGCGCGCGCAGGCGGCUAUUUAAGUUGGAUGUGAAAGCCUACGGCUCAACCGUAGAACUGCAUCCAAAACUAUUUAGCUAGAGUGUGGGAGAGGAAGAUGGAAUUAGUUGUGUAGGGGUAAAAUCCGUAGAGAUAACUAGGAAUACCAAAAGCGAAGGCAAUCUUCUGGAACACUACUGACGCUGAGGCGCGAAAGCGUGGGGAGCAAACAGGAUUAGAAACCCUAGUAGUCC
Molecule: ribosomal RNA, 274 nt
Filed under: uncultured bacterium
Lineage: Bacteria
Description: partial 16S ribosomal RNA
Rfam family: Bacterial small subunit ribosomal RNA
Source: RNAcentral